Molecule: ribosomal RNA, 253 nt
Filed under: uncultured bacterium
Lineage: Bacteria
Description: partial 16S ribosomal RNA
Rfam family: Bacterial small subunit ribosomal RNA
Source: RNAcentral
UACGGGGGGGGCAAGCGUUGUUCGGAAUUACUGGGCGUAAAGGGCUCGUAGGCGGCCAACUAAGUCAGAUGUGAAAUCCCUCGGCUUAACCGGGGAACUGCAUCUGAUACUGGAUGGCUUGAGUUCGGGAGAGGGAUGCGGAAUUCCAGGUGUAGCGGUGAAAUGCGUAGAUAUCUGGAGGAACACCGGUGGCGAAGGCGGCAUCCUGGACCGACACUGACGCUGAGGAGCGAAAGCCAGGGGAGCAAACAGG